This is a long non-coding RNA of Brassica napus (rape), 1002 nucleotides long. RefSeq lists it as uncharacterized. The record is from RefSeq and is a predicted model, not a curated record. The transcript has 5 exons. NCBI's taxonomy places the organism in Eukaryota, Viridiplantae, Streptophyta, Magnoliopsida, Brassicales, Brassicaceae.
UUAAUAGUCGAUGCCCAAAGCUUAAUUUUAAAACAUCUUAGACAAAAAACUCAUUCACCUUUGGUGUUGUUUUUUUCUUUUUUUUGCUGUCGAGACCUUUGGUGUCUCUUUCUGGAAAAUUGAAAGCUGGAAAAUAUCAGAACAUUCUCUCUUUAUUACCACCGAUUGUUCUGGUCUUAAACUCAUGGAUCUGUAAAACUCAACUCCGACCGUUCAGAUUAGACUCCUCCGUUUAUUCCGAUGGUCGAUCUAAGGAUCGAAGAGCAAGUCAAAGAUCUGAUAAAAGCAUGAAACAAAGUGAAACAGAAGCUUCAAAACUCGGUAGAUUCACCGAGGAUGAGAAGAAAGAUGAGUCUGAGAUGGUUGUCGAUUGUAUCAUAAGAAGUGUUGGAAGACAACCAAACGAUUUCUUAUGAAUGUGAGAUUGGAAUGAUCUUGAAGAGUCUGAAGACGAUGUGAAUCGAUCAAAGACUACGAACUUUAUCCUUCUAUGAAGGAAAACAUGACUUCAAUAUAAAAGAUAAGUUAUUUUCAGAAAGUUUGUCUUUUUUACAUUAUAUAUAAUGUAUCUGCCAUUAGAACCUUGACAUGAACAAUCUUGUUAGUGUGCCUUGGCUUCAAGUCGCUGAUGGCGGUGAUUUCUUCAAUAGAAGCCAUUUUUUUGUUUGAGGGUAUAGAGUUUGAUGAUGUCGAUGGGCUUUUCAGGGUAUAGGAUUCGAUGGGCUAAACGUUAUAUUCUGAUUGGUUUAUAAACGCAUGGGCUCACUCGAUUUGGGCCUAAGUUGCUACGUGGAAUCGUUAUGGAUAGGUGAUUAAAACAAAAGAUUUCUGAUUGGUCUAUUAACAUGGACGUUUUUUAUUAAAGAAAAAAAAAAGAAAAUGCAGUGGCAUUUGGUUGUAAAUAUAUUGAAAAGAUAGGGGCAGAAUCCUAUUAGGGAUUCUGCUUUAAUAGUAUAGAUUAAGUUUGUUUAAUUAUUGUUAUCAAAUUGAUAAGUUCAUGCA